GGAAAGUAUAUAUUGAUUAUUGUAAUAGUUUAGAUAUUCAAAAACUAGUGUCAUGAUAUAUUUAAGACUCGAAUCAUACUUGGGAAAAAGCUUUUCUGAAAACGAUCAGUUCUACAUUUGAACAAUGAUCAAUUGUUAGCGUUACGUAAAUCGUAGUUCAUGUUUUCUCUAGUCUGAGGUAAGAGAUAAAACAGGCGGUUGCCAUCCGAGUUAUCUUUUUAAUCGUUCUUUCACACAAAGCAUCGCGUCUCUCGUCCAGGCGAGAACAAUGCCAAUGGAGCUGACUCAAAGCUUCACGGUAAGACCUGCCAGGGAGGAUUAUAUUCAGUGCUCUUUUCUGAACUCGUUCAAUUGAGUCCGCCAGAUAAGCUGGUAGAUUGUCAUGCCAUACAAUGCAGCAGUACUCUAGUACGGAGCGAAUGAGAGCAUAGUAAAUAAGGAUCAGUUCAUGAGGUGGGAUUCCACCCCGUUUAAGAAUUCUAAGAAUAUGAAAACGCUUGGAGGCCUUUUUAACAAUCAUGGCAAUUUGCCCAUUCCACUUAAGAUUAUCCUGUAUAACCAAGCCAAGAACCUUAUGAUGGGAAACGAUUUCCAGGGGGUGUCCCCUCAAAUUGAGACGUUCUAAAAUGGGUCGCUAUUUAAGGAAACAGACG
Molecule: non-coding RNA, 653 nt
Organism: Paramuricea clavata
Lineage: Eukaryota; Metazoa; Cnidaria; Anthozoa; Malacalcyonacea; Plexauridae
Source: the annotation of a GenBank genome assembly